Molecule: ribosomal RNA, 407 nt
Filed under: uncultured bacterium
Lineage: Bacteria
Description: partial 16S ribosomal RNA
Rfam family: Bacterial small subunit ribosomal RNA
Source: RNAcentral
AUUGAACGCUGUCGGCAGGCCUAACACAUGCAAGUCUAGCGGGGCGGCUGAAGGGUGAGUAAUGCCUAGGUAGCUGCCCGGUAGUGGGUGUUAACGUCCAGAUUCGGGCGUUAAUACCGCAUACUAUCAGAUCAGCCUAGGGCGGAUUAGCUAGUUGGUGGGGUAAUGGCCUACAAAGGCGACGAUCCGUAACUGGUCUGAGAGGAUGAUCAGUCACACUGGAACUGAGGCACGGUCCAGACUCCAACGGGAGGCAGCAGUGGGGAGUAUUGGACAAUGGGCGAAAGCCUAAUCCAGCCAUGCCGCGUGUGUGAGGAAGGUAUUCGGAUUGUAAAGCACUUUAAGUUGGUGGGCGUUACCAGCAGAAUAAGCACCGGCUAACUUCGUGCCAGCAGCCGCGGUAAUUC